GAUCGUUUGGCUCCUCUUGAACGCUGGCGGCAUGCUUUACACAUGCAAGUCGAAUCGGCAGCACGCACUUCGGCCUGGUGGCGAGUGGCGAACGGGUGAGUAAUGCGUCGGAACGUGCCGAGUAAUGGGAGGAUAACGCUUCGAAAGGAGUGCUAAUACCGCAUAAUCUCUGAGGAGGAAAGCGGGGGACCUUCGGGCCUCGCGUUAUUCGAGCGGCCGACGUCUGAUUAGCUAGUUGGUGAGGUAAAGGCUCACCACUAGACGAUCAGUAGCGGGUCUCUCGGAUGAUCCGCCACACUGGGACUGAGACACGGCCCAGACUCCUACGGGAGGCAGCAGUGCCAAUUAGGGACAAUGGCGAUGUCUGAUCCAGCCAUGCCGCGUGUCUGAAGAAGGCCUUCGGGUUGUAAAGGACUUAGUUGUCUGCUCCAAAUCCCUAGCGUUAAUAGCGUUGGGGGAUGACAGUACCGGAAGAAUACAGCACCGGCUAACUACGUGCCAGCAGCUAGGUAAUACGUAGGGUGCAAGCGAGCUCGGAAUUACUGCUCGUAAAGGGUGCGCAGGCACGGACACAAGCCAGAUGUGAAAUCCUUAGCUUAACUUGGGAACGGCGUUCGGAACUGUGUCGCUAGAGUAUGUCAGAGGAUGUAGAAUUCCUGGUGUAGCAGUGAAAUGCGUAGAUAUCACUCGAAUACCGAUGGCGAAGGCAGCAGCUGGGAUAAUACUGACGCUCAUGCACGAAACGCGUGGGGAGCAAUACAGGAUUAGAUACCCUGGUAGUCGCACGCCCUAAACGCAUGACAACUAGCCGUUGGGAAUGAAGAUUCUUAGUGGCGUAGCUAACGCGAGAAGUUGUCCGCCUGACUAGUACGGUCGCAAGAUUAUGACUCAAAGGAAUUGACGGGGGCCCGCACAAGCGGUGGAUGAUGUGGAUUAAUUCGAUGCAACGCGAUCACCUUACCUGGUCUUGACAUGUAUAUAAUCCUGCAGAGAUGCGGGAGUGCCGUUCGGCUGCCGUAACAGCAGGUGCUGCAUGGCUGUCGUCAGCUAGAUGUUGGGUUAAGUCCCGCAACGAGCGCAACCGCUUGCCAUGCGUUGCUACCAUUCAGUUGAGCACUGCGUGGGACUGUAUUGACAAACCGGAGCGAAGGUGGCAUUGACGUCAAGUCCUCAUGGCCCUUAUGACCAGGGCUUCACACGUCAUACAAUGGUCGGUACAGAGGGUCGCUAACCCGCGAGGGGGUGCUAAUCUCAUAAAGCCGAUCGUACAGCGGAUCGCACUCUGCAACUCGAGUGCGUGAAGUCGGAAUCGCUAGUAAUCGCGGAUCAGCAUGUCGCGGUGAAUACGUUACCCGGGCCUUGUACACACCGCCCGUCACACCAUGGGAGAUGGCGGAUACGCAGAAGCAGCGUAGCUUAACCAUUCGCGCUUGCCACGGAUAUGAGGAUCGACUGGGGUGAAUGUCGAUACGG
Molecule: ribosomal RNA, 1473 nt
Filed under: uncultured Aquaspirillum sp.
Lineage: Bacteria; Pseudomonadati; Pseudomonadota; Betaproteobacteria; Neisseriales; Aquaspirillaceae
Description: bacterial SSU rRNA
Rfam family: Bacterial small subunit ribosomal RNA
Source: RNAcentral